This 5285-nucleotide long non-coding RNA is filed under the name Sorghum bicolor (sorghum). RNAcentral's name for it is "long non-coding RNA (SBIC_LNC003446)". The record is from RNAcentral. Lineage: Eukaryota; Viridiplantae; Streptophyta; Magnoliopsida; Poales; Poaceae.
AGCUGUCCAUUCAAACCCAAUCAUAGCAUACACCAGUACACCAUAUAUUAAGGACUGAACAAAGAUGUAUGGAAGUUCAAUUACAACCUGCAAAUGGAGGUACAAGUUAGAACUGUUUCUUCUAUCUACCUUAAUAUUUCUCAUGUUGUACAUUGAUUUGGAGGGAUUUUACUGUCUGCACCACCUUUUUAUGGAAGGAAAUAGAGUAGCUUACACAUUCUUGAAUCUGAUUAUGAUUUGUUACAACCAAAUUUAAUGUGCUAUCUCUGUUUUACCACUAUUUUUUUUUGUCACAUUCAUUUGAAGUGAUUGUUAGCUGUAGUGAAUGCCAGUAAACUUUACCUGUCCCAAGGCAUAUGGCAAUGGUGAGUACAUAUGAGCCGCCCUUUCCCUGUAAAAGACUGUUCGCUCAACUGAUACAACUGGCUGAACUGAACCAGAAUUCUGUACUCCCAUGAAAAUAACUGAGGCAUACAUGGAACCCAUGGCAUUGAACAAGUCCUGUUGACUAUCCCUGCAAGAGUAGAAAUAAUAUAUCUAGUGAACUGAAAGCUUGUGGUAAUGGAGACCAGGGGUGGCCUCUGUAACUGUAGGAAAUUUGACAUUUACAUUUUUCUACUUCAAUUUUGUUUAUGCUCAUUACCUUUUUCUGCCUACACCCCAGAACAUUGUUCCAAACAACAGGGCAAUCACUGUUGUGUAGAAGUAUUUGACAGCAGUAUAUGGAGGGUUUCUCCAAUAUGACAUACUUUGCUUCCACAGGCAAGCGAAACACUGUGUGAGGAAAGUCUGCGAGUAUUCGGUUGGAAAAGAUAGGUCACUUGAACCUUCUGGAGGCGUGCUUAGCUCCUUUAUCAAAGUUUUAUUCCUCCUGAAAUACAACAAAAUUACAAAAGUAGUGUUGACUGAGACAUUGUUUGACAGUGUAUUAUCUUUUUUGUGGAAUUGGAAUAUCAAUUCCUAAAUAGAUUUACAUAUUAAUAUUUUGAUCUUUUGAAAGGAUAUGUAUAUGGUUUAAGAAUUAUUUAUGCACAUAUUGUUUGAAAAUAGGGAAAACAGGAAUAUUCUGCUGCAGGGCAGAUUGACCCUUAGCUGUGUCAAUAUAUGUCCCUCCUAGAGGAUAAAAUCCAUACUCUUGGAAAAUGCCUUGUACUUCUCAGUUUAAGGAUCUGCACUCUCAAAUACUACUACUUUGCUAUUCUCAAAAUCUGAGAUUUCGGAGCCUGAAUCAAAGUUAGAUAGGUCUGUACUUCUUACUCCUUGAUUAGAUUAUUAUAAACUAUGAACCAUAACACACAUGCACAUACCUGUAUAAUUCUGAGUUCUUGUAUACUUCGCUGAAGUUAAUACCAGUUAUCUGUUCUUGCAUUGUACUAGUCACUUCCAGCAUCCAUGUCGAGGGGUUGUAGCCAUCUUUUAUCUUGUUGACACCUUCGAUAUCCUUGGUACAAUCAAGGAAAGCCCAGUUAGAUGAUGUGUCAGAUCAGUGCAAAACUGUAAUUCGUGGAAAUAUAAUAGUUAAGUUGCUCCUUCCUCACCUCAAAAUAUUUGAUCAGUUCACAUGAGUGCAGUCCUAGUGGACCUACAUAAAUCUCUUCACCUCCACGUUUCAUAAGGAAGAGCUGCAGUUGUGCACAGAGCCAUUAGGUGUUAAAGGUCUGGUAUAUAGUGCAAAUAGCGAAAGUGUUGGUUUACUCUUUUUUCCUUUGCAUUCUAAAAUAAGCAACUAUGUUUUGUAUGGUUUUCUUUACCUCAUCAAAAGAUUCAAAGAUAUCUAUACUUGGUUGGUGAAUGGUACAAACAACCGUUCUUCCUGUGUCCACAGUAUUCCUUAUUGCCCUCAUGACAAUAGCUGCUGCUCGAGCAUCAAGUCCAGAUGUCGGUUCAUCCAUGAAAAUUAUAGAAGGAUUAGCAACAAGCUCAACAGCUAUUGUUAGCCUCUUCCUUUGCUCUGUUGAUAGUCCGCUCACACCAGGCAAUCCCACCAAUGCAUCUUUCAAGGGUGAAAGCUCCACAAGCUCCAUAACCUCAUCAAUAAACAUCUGCACAGAGAAAAUCAGAUUUCAUGUGUGAGACGCCGACUAAAAAUGUAAUUACUUUAUUAGUUAUAUUGUAAAACUGGCCAGCAUUUUCAAUCAUGUCUAUCUGAAAUGUUUCUAUGAACGCUGACUAAAAAUGUAAUUACUUUAUUAGUUAUAUUGUAAAACUGGCCAUCAUUUUCGAUCAUGUCUAUCUGAAAUGUUUCUAUGAACUUAAAUUCUGGGUUGUUCAAGAUUUCCAUCUAUAUUAUCACAUAACAUUUUUUAUCAACUUGGCUGUUUUAUUUUUUUUUUAAAUAAAAACAUGGUUGUCCAGAUUUUCAUCUAUAUCACUACAUAACAUUUUAGAUCAACUGGUAAAAUUGCUCAUAUUCUGACCAUAUUUCACAUAAUUUGUUAAUGCAUGCAUGUAUACUAUAAUUUAUUAAACAAAGUGAUGUCUUUGUUCUUUGGCAAACCUUUCUUGUCGAGGAAUCAACAUCAGCAGGUAAUCUGAGCCAUGCAGAGAAUGCAAGGGAUUCAUAGACGGUAACAUUUGGUGAAUGGAUGUCAUUUUGCUCACAGUAUCCUGAUAUACGAGCAAAAGUUUCUUGUUUCUUCGGGUAACCUGAUAUGGUAAUGUUGCCCUCAAUGUAUCCACUGGUCUUCCUCCCAGCCAACACAUCCAUCAGUGUGGUCUUGCCAGCACCACUGACACCCAUAAGAGCAGUAAGUACUCCUGGCCUAAACGAACCACUUAUACCUUUCAGUAGUUCCAACCGGGUCUCUGUGACACCUUGUGCUCUGAUUGCCUACAUGUUUUAUUGGAUAUAAAUAAACUGUUAUAAAUGAUUGCUUUGCACUUAGAUGGUAUGAAAACAUACAAGAAUCUGCAAGAAUGUUUGUAUUAAUUUCCUUAAACCAGCCCUUUGGGCUGGUAUGAGUGCCUUUGACUCCAUUUUUUCUUAGUAUAAUGAUGUGCAGUUCUUACUCGUGUUCGGUACAAAAAUUAAAAAUUUCCUUAAAAAGUGAAUACCUCUGGCAUGUCCACACUGUAUCUUAUAUCUUCAAAAGUGAUGGAGAGAGGUACAAAAGGGAGGACCAUUCCUUUGUUGACUUGACUAGAAUUUACUGUCGCUUCAUCAUUGCUCUCAUCCAAAGUACCUGAUAGCAUAUCACAUAUGCAAGGUUGUCAGGCACAUCAAUAUAUUCUUAUGUAAUAUUAAUUAACGAAGAUAAAACAAUAAUUACUUCUAGCUGUUACUGUAGUGUUGGCAACCCGUCCUCUCGAUGAUGCUUCUAAAACUUCACCGGUUAGAUUUGCUUGUUUUAUCUUCAACGUCUCCUCAGAAAUUGUUGGUUGAUUAGUGUCAAAUGCUGCAGGGAGCAUAAUUUGUAAGGGUUGAAUUUGAUUGUUUGCAGUAUGCAUUUUUAAUGUCCAUGUAGAUGCAGAAUACCAUUUACUCACGCUUGAGGAAUGUGAGGCAGAUAGUGUAGAGUAUAUUGAAUAGCAGCACAUAUCCAAACAAGGCACCCACACCAAUCCAGUACCAUUUUGCCUCAGGAAAAAGUCCACGAGAUUCUAGAACUAGUUUUCCAAGUGGUUCUGCUGAACCGGGGUUUGCUUGCUGCAUAUAAGAGUAUCAAUAAGCUUUAGUCAUUAUUCGUUAACUAACUUGUGAAGGUUAUACCUUUCUUAAAAUAUAUUUUACCUUAUUCCAGCUGCUACCCAGGAAUUCAUUUACUGAUAUGGCAUUUUGUGCAUACAUCAGGGGUGAUAUCCAGUACCCCCAAAUCCACCAUUUCUUCACAUUCUCUGUUAAAUCAAAGGAAUAGUUUAAUUCAAGAAUUCUUGUAUAAGUACCGCUGCCAUAUCAGAUGAAUAAUAGCUGAAAUUAGAAAGUUCAAGCCAUGUUUACAUUUAAACACUAUAUUUUGAGUUAGCUGCUUUUGCAUAUACCUCUUGCCAGGAGGAAUCCACCCAAAAGCAUGCAUAUCAGAAUGCCGAAUGAACCAAGGGUGCUUGCAACAACCUGAUGCCUUGCAAGCCCGGCAAUGAAACGGAACAAUCCUGAUGAUGCCUCGUUCAUUAGUAAGAGGAGCAGGAACUGCCUAAAAAGUCUGCAGCAGGUUUAUCAAAUUUGAUCAGGUUCUGUAAUGCACUCAUAAACAUGCUGCUCUGGGAUAGAAAUUUUGGUUUCCAUACCUUUCUACGUUGGGAUCAAAUCCAAUAACAUAGUAUGUUAUGAAGACCCAAAUUGUUACAUUCAGCAAGGAGAGGGGAGUCUUAAUGAUCCAUGAUGGCAAGGAGUAUGUCCAUGCAGGGUAGAAGAGAAGAUCCCUUUGCUUGAAGAAAACUGGGAGCUUUGCAAUAGUUAGGCCAACUUCUGCCAGUCCAUUGAACAUGAUCAUCAGGAUCCCAAAGAACAGGGCACCCAUGUAUAUCCUUCCAUCUGUUACUGAGUCACGAUGCAUAUUGGUUCGGAGAAAGACGGUCAUCGUAAUGAGUGCCAUGAGUGUUAGCUGAACAAUAGGUAGUAAACAAAAAGGAGUUGUCAUUUAAGUUCUCAUGGUGUGGCCAACAUAAUUUGAAUCUGAAAAGCCCUGGUUCUCGAGAAUCACCUGAACUGCCUUGAAUAUGUAUACAAAGGAAUUUCUUUUCAUUAGCAAUAUCUCUCUGUCAAUAUUUGCUUUAAGUAGCUCUCUCACGCUGGCGCCAUAUUUUGAUGUUUUCAGAGCAGCAGGAUGACUCGUACUCUUGUCAAAUGGGACUGCCAACUCAUUUCGUAUAGCCUCACCAACAUGGAAAGAUUGAAAUGCUUCUGCAAACUCCUUCACGGGGACAUAUCGGUAGGUGUCAUCACCAUGUUUCCAGUAUUGUCUCUGAUCUUUCUUUGAUGUAACCUAUCACAUUUCAAUUAUUGCUCGUCAAACUUGUGCACUAAUAUACCCCAAAAAAAGAUCAGCACUACUGAAUAAUAUGAUCCUAGCAUUACAUAUUUCUGAAAUGUGUACUUCGUUAGGUAUUUCGAGAUCUUUUCUUUUUAAUUAAAUACCCUUCUAGAAAAAGCUUGAUGCAGAACUGUAAUGAAAGUACAGAACUCACUUCCUGCAGGAAGUCGGCUACACCUUUCCGCUGCGGGCAUUUGAAGCCAACUGACUCAAAGAACUCAAGAACAUAUUCACGAGGACCAUUGUAGACAACCUGACCAUCUGAGAGAAGAAUUAUAUCAUCAAACAAUUCAUAUGUCUCAGGUGCAGGUUGUA